UCUCCUACGGGAGGCAGCAGUGGGGGAUAUUGCACAAUGGGGGGAACCCUGAUGCAGCGACGCCGCGUGGGUGGAGGAGCGUUUCGGCGCGUAAAGCCCUAUCGGCAGGGAAGAAGGAGGACGGUACCUGACUAAGAAGCCCCGGCUAACUACGUGCCAGCAGCCGCGGUAAUACGUAGGGGGCAAGCGUUAUCCGGAUUUGCUGGGUGUAAAGGGAGCGUAGACGGCAGAGCAAGUCUGAAGUGAAAGCCCGCGGCCCAACUGCGGGACUGCUUUGGAAACUGCCCGGCUAGAGUGCUGGAGAG
RNAcentral lists this ribosomal RNA (305 nucleotides) under uncultured bacterium. Its description in RNAcentral is "bacterial SSU rRNA". It matches the Rfam family "Bacterial small subunit ribosomal RNA", at positions 335 to 656 of the family's 1533-position model. The record is from RNAcentral.